GUAUUGCUUCCGCAAUACCUAUUCUAAAAUUGGAACGAUACAGAGAAGAUUAGCAUGGCCCCUGCACAAGGAUGACACGCAAAUUCGUGAAGCGUUCCAUAUUUAU
RNAcentral lists this small nuclear RNA (106 nucleotides) under Octopus vulgaris (common octopus). The record is from RNAcentral. RNAcentral also lists the same sequence under 1 other name. Lineage: Eukaryota; Metazoa; Mollusca; Cephalopoda; Octopoda; Octopodidae.